UGGGGGAAUAUUGCACAAUGGGCGCAAGCCUGAUGCAGCAACGCCGCGUGAGGGACGACGGCCUUCGGGUUGUAAACCUCUUUUAGUAGGGAAGAAGCGAAAGUGACGGUACCUGCAGAAAAACGCACCGGCUAACUACGUGCCAGCAGCCGCGGUAAUACGUAGGGUGCGAGCGUUGUCCGGAAUUAUUGGGCGUAAAGAGCUCGUAGGCGGUCUGUCGCGUCUGCUGUGAAAACCCGAGGCUCAACCUCGGGCCUGCAGUGGGUACGGGCAGACUAGAGUGCGGUAGGGGAGAAUGGAAUUCCUGGUGUAGCGGUGGAAUGCGCAGAUAUCAGGAGGAACACCGAUGGCGAAGGCAGUUCUCUGGGCCGUAACUGACGCCGAGGAGCGAAAGCGUGGGGAGCGAACAGGAUUAGAUACCCUGGUAGUCCACGCCGUAAACGUUGGGCGCUAGAUGUGGGGCACCAUUCCACGGUUUCCGUGUC
Molecule: ribosomal RNA, 485 nt
Filed under: uncultured bacterium
Lineage: Bacteria
Description: partial 16S ribosomal RNA
Rfam family: Bacterial small subunit ribosomal RNA
Source: RNAcentral